This 448-nucleotide ribosomal RNA is filed under the name uncultured bacterium. RNAcentral describes it as "bacterial SSU rRNA". It matches the Rfam family "Bacterial small subunit ribosomal RNA", at positions 329 to 794 of the family's 1533-position model. The record is from RNAcentral.
GUCCAGACUCCUACGGGAGGCAGCAGUGGGGAAUAUUGCACAAUGGGGGAAACCCUGAUGCAGCGACGCCGCGUGAGCGAUGAAGUAUUUCGGUAUGUAAAGCUCUAUCAGCAGGGAAGAAGAUGACGGUACCUGACUAAGAAGCCCCGGCUAACUACAUGCCAGCAGCCGCGGUAAUACGUAGGGGGCAAGCGUUAUCCGGAUUUACUGGGUGUAAAGGGAGCGUAGACGGCGAUGCAAGCCAGAUGUGAAAGCCCGGGGCUCAACCCCGGGACUGCAUUUGGAACUGUGUGGCUGGAGUGUCGGAGAGGCAGGCGGAAUUCCUAGUGUAGCGGUGAAAUGCGUAGAUAUUAGGAGGAACACCAGUGGCGAAGGCGGCCUGCUGGACGAUGACUGACGUUGAGGCUCGAAAGCGUGGGGAGCAAACAGGAUUAGAUACCCCGGUAGA